This 466-nucleotide ribosomal RNA is filed under the name uncultured bacterium. RNAcentral describes it as "partial 16S ribosomal RNA". It matches the Rfam family "Bacterial small subunit ribosomal RNA", at positions 29 to 506 of the family's 1533-position model. The record is from RNAcentral.
ACGAACGCUGGCGGCGUGCUUAACACAUGCCAGUCGAACGGAAAGGCCCUGCUUUUGUGGGGUGCUCGAGUGGCGAACGGGUGAGUAACACGUGAGUAACCUGCCCUUGACUUUGGGAUAACUUCAGGAAACUGGGGCUAAUACCGGAUAGGAGCUCCUGCUGCAUGGUGGGGGUUGGAAAGUUUCGGCGGUUGGGGAUGGACUCGCGGCUUAUCAGCUUGUUGGUGGGGUAGUGGCUUACCAAGGCUUUGACGGGUAGCCGGCCUGAGAGGGUGACCGGCCACAUUGGGACUGAGAUACGGCCCAGACUCCUACGGGAGGCAGCAGUGGGGAAUAUUGCACAAUGGGCGGAAGCCUGAUGCAGCAACGCCGCGUGCGGGAUGACGGCCUUCGGGUGGUAAACCGCUUUCGCCUGUGACGAAGCGUGAGUGACGGUAAUGGGUAAAGAAGCACCGGCUAACUACGU